ACACGGUCCAGACUCCUACGGGAGGCAGCAGUGGGGAAUAUUGCACAAUGGGCGCAAGCCUGAUGCAGCCAUGCCGCGUGUAUGAAGAAGGCCUUCGGGUUGUAAAGUACUUUCAGCAGUGAGGAAGGUGAUGUAGUUAAUAACUGCAUCAUUUGACGUUAGCUGCAGAAGAAGCACCGGCUAACUCCGUGCCAGCAGCCGCGGUAAUACGGAGGGUGCGAGCGUUAAUCGGAAUUACUGGGCGUAAAGCGCAUGCAGGUGGAUGAUUAAGUCAGAUGUGAAAGCCCGGGGCUCAACCUCGGAAUUGCAUUUGAAACUGGUCAUCUAGAGUACUGUAGAGGGGGGUAGAAUUUCAGGUGUAGCGGUGAAAUGCGUAGAGAUCUGAAGGAAUACCGGUGGCGAAGGCGGCCCCCUGGACAGAUACUGACACUCAGAUGCGAAAGCGUGGGGAGCAAACAGGAUUAGAUACCCUGGUAGUCCACGCCGUAAACGAUGUCUACUUGGAGGUUGUGGCCUUGAGCCGUGGCUUUCGGAGCUAACGCGUUAAGUAGACCGCCUGGGGAGUACGGUCGCAAGAUUAAAACUCAAAUGAAUUGACGGGGGCCCGCACAAGCGGUGGAGCAUGUGGUUUAAUUCGAUGCAACGCGAAGAACCUUACCUACUCUUGACAUCCAGAGAAUUUUCCAGAGAUGGAUUNGUGCCUUCGGGAACUCUGAGACAGGUGCUGCAUGGCUGUCGUCAGCUCGUGUUGUGAAAUGUUGGGUUAAGUCCCGCAACGAGCGCAACCCUUAUCCUUGUUUGCCAGCGAGUAAUGUCGGGAACUCCAGGGAGACUGCCGGUGAUAAACCGGAGGAAGGUGGGGACGACGUCAAGUCAUCAUGGCCCUUACGAGUAGGGCUACACACGUGCUACAAUGGCGCAUACAGAGGGCAGCAAGCUAGCGAUAGUGAGCGAAUCCCAAAAAGUGCGUCGUAGUCCGGAUUGGAGUCUGCAACUCGACUCCAUGAAGUCGGAAUCGCUAGUAAUCGUGGAUCAGAAUGCCACGGUGAAUACGUUNCCCGGGCCUUGUACACACCGCCCGUCACAUCCAUGGGAGUGGG
Molecule: ribosomal RNA, 1100 nt
Filed under: Vibrio sp. a256
Lineage: Bacteria; Pseudomonadati; Pseudomonadota; Gammaproteobacteria; Vibrionales; Vibrionaceae
Description: bacterial SSU rRNA
Rfam family: Bacterial small subunit ribosomal RNA
Source: RNAcentral